This 440-nucleotide ribosomal RNA is filed under the name uncultured bacterium. Its description in RNAcentral is "partial 16S ribosomal RNA". It matches the Rfam family "Bacterial small subunit ribosomal RNA", at positions 338 to 795 of the family's 1533-position model. The record is from RNAcentral.
CCUACGGGUGGCAGCAGUGGGGAAUAUUGCACAAUGGGCGAAACCCUGAUCCAGCGACGCCGCGUGAGUGAAGAAGGAUCUCGGUAUGUAAAGCUCUAUCAGCAGGGAAGAAAAUGACGGUACCUGAUUAAGAAGCCCCGGCUAACUACGUGCCAGCAGCCGCGGGAAUACGUAGGGGGCAAGCGUUAUCCGGAUUUACUGGGUGUAAAGGGGGCGUAGGCGGCAGGACAAGUCUGGAGUGAAAUGCCGGGGCUUAACCCCGGAACUGCUUUGGAAACUGUGCAGCUAGAGUGCAGGAGAGGUAAGUGGAAUUCGUAGUGUAGCGGUGAAAUGCGUAGAUAUUAGGAGGAACACCAGUGGCGAAGGCGGCUUACUGGACUGUAACUGACGUUGAGGCUCGAAAGCGUGGGGAGCAAACAGGAUUAGAUACCCGUGUAGUC